GACAAACGCUGGCGGCGUGCUUAACACAUGCAAGUCGAACGGAAAGGCCCUGCUUGCAGGGUGCUCGAGUGGCGAACGGGUGAGUAACACGUGGGUGAUCUGCCCCUUACUUUGGGAUAAGCCUGGGAAACUGGGUCUAAUACUGGAUAGGACCAUGCUGUAGGUGGUGUGGUGGAAAGAUUAGUUUCGGUAAGGGAUGAGCUCGCGGCCUAUCAGCUUGUUGGUGGGGUAAUGGCCUACCAAGGCGUCGACGGGUAGCCGGCCUGAGAGGGUGGACGGCCACAUUGGGACUGAGAUACGGCCCAGACUCCUACGGGAGGCAGCAGUGGGGAAUAUUGCACAAUGGGCGCAAGCCUGAUGCAGCGACGCCGCGUGGGGGAUGACGGCCUUCGGGUUGUAAACUCCUUUCAGCCAUGACGAAGCCCUUGUGGUGACGGUAGUGGUAGAAGAAGCACCGGCUAACUACGUG
Molecule: ribosomal RNA, 469 nt
Filed under: uncultured bacterium
Lineage: Bacteria
Description: partial 16S ribosomal RNA
Rfam family: Bacterial small subunit ribosomal RNA
Source: RNAcentral